UGGCUGAAACUGGAACCUGACAAAUGGCGGAUAGGUGCACAGCAGUGUGACAGAAGGAAGCAGUUGUGGCACAUAAAAAAGCAAACGAGCAUCCGGAGCCUGCGAAAGCUUGUGCUGGCGCGCGUCUGAGCCACUUCUCCUGCACAGGAGGAGGAGGAGCGCCUCUACCUGCCUCGCAGCCAUUUCACCUGGCAGCGCUCCUUCGAACGAGAAGGCCCAGACACGUCAGCCGACGACAAUAGCAAUGUGUUUCUGUGCAACCUCAA
This is a long non-coding RNA of Alligator mississippiensis (American alligator), 266 nucleotides long. RefSeq lists it as uncharacterized. The transcript is spliced from 2 exons. The record is from RefSeq and is a predicted model, not a curated record. Lineage: Eukaryota; Metazoa; Chordata; Crocodylia; Alligatoridae.